Molecule: ribosomal RNA, 1034 nt
Filed under: Pseudopsilostoma varium
Lineage: Eukaryota; Metazoa; Platyhelminthes; Trematoda; Plagiorchiida; Psilostomidae
Description: SSU rRNA
Rfam family: Eukaryotic small subunit ribosomal RNA
Source: RNAcentral
UCGAUGGUAGGUGACCUGCCUACCAUGGUGCUAACGGGUAACGGGGAAUCAGGGUUCGAUUCCGGAGAGGGAGCCUGAGAAACGGCUACCACUUCCAAGGAAGGCAGCAGGCACGCAAAUUACCCAAUCCCGGCACGGGGAGGUAGUGACGAAAAAUACGGAUACGGGACUCACUUGAGGCUCCGUAAUUCGAAUGAGUACAAUUUAAAUCCUUUAACGAGGAUCAACUGGAGGGCAAGUCUGGUGCCAGCAGCCGCGGUAACUCCAGCUCCAGAAGCGUAUAUUAAAGUUGUUGCAGUUAAAAAGCUCGUAGUUGGAUCUGGGUUGCAUGGCUACAUGCCGUCGCUCGUGUGCACUUCAUGGUGACCACCGUGAAGGACAUAUGAGUCGGUCUCGUGGUUGUGCUUCCUUUCUGCUGUGUCUGUUUACAGGUGUCAGCGUGGCUGGCGGUCUUGAUUGCUAGUCUGUUGGCAUGCUUCUUGGUGCCUUUAACCGGGUGUCGGAGGCGGACAGCACGUUUACUUUGAACAAAUUUGAGUGCUCAAAGCAGGCCUUUGUGCCUGAAAAUUCUUGCAUGGAAUAAUGGAAUAGGACUUCGGUUCUAUUUUGUUGGUUUUCGGAUCCGAAGUAAUGGUUAAGAGGGACAGACGGGGGCAUUUGUAUGGCGGUGUUAGAGGUGAAAUUCUUGGAUCGCCGCCAGACAAACUACAGCGAAAGCAUUUGCCAAGGAUGUUUUCAUUGAUCUUGAGCGAAAGUCAGAGGUUCGAAGACGAUCAGAUACCGUCCUAGUUCUGACCAUAAACGAUGCCAACUGACGAUCCGUGGUGGUUCCUCUUGUGUCCCCACGGGCAGUCCCCGGGAAACCCUUAAGUCUUUGGGCUCCGGGGGAAGUAUGGUUGCAAAGCUGAAACUUAAAGGAAUUGACGGAAGGGCACCACCAGGAGUGGAGCCUGCGGCUUAAUUCGACUCAACACGGGAAAACUCACCCGGCCCGGACACUGUGAGGAUUGACAGAUUGAUAGCUCUUUCUUGAU